This 236-nucleotide ribosomal RNA is filed under the name uncultured bacterium. Its description in RNAcentral is "partial 16S ribosomal RNA". It matches the Rfam family "Bacterial small subunit ribosomal RNA", at positions 541 to 776 of the family's 1533-position model. The record is from RNAcentral.
UUGUUCGGAAUUACUGGGCGUAAAGGGCGCGUAGGCGGCCUUCUAAGUCGAACGUGAAAUCCCCGGGCUCAACCCGGGAACUGCGUCCGAUACUGGAAGGCUUGAAUCCGGGAGAGGGAUGUGGAAUUCCAGGUGUAGCGGUGAAAUGCGUAGAUAUCGUGAGGAAGACCAGUGGCGAAGGCGGGUCUCUGGACAGUUCCUGACGCUGAGGCGCGAAGGCCAGGGGAGCAAACGGG